UACGUAGGGAGCAAGCGUUGUCCGGAAUCAUUGGGCGUAAAGCGCGUGUAGGUGGCCCGGUAAGUCCGCUCUGAAAGUCAAAGGCUCAACCUUUGAAAGCGGGUGGAUACUGCCAGGCUAGAGUCCGGAAGAGGCGAGUGGAAUUCCUGGUGUAGCGAUGGAAUGCGCAGAUAUCAGGAGGAACACCAACGGCGAAGGCAGCUCGCUGGGACGGUACUGACACUGAGGCGCGAAAGCGUGGGGAGCGAAUAGG
This 253-nucleotide ribosomal RNA is filed under the name uncultured bacterium. Its description in RNAcentral is "partial 16S ribosomal RNA". It matches the Rfam family "Bacterial small subunit ribosomal RNA", at positions 524 to 776 of the family's 1533-position model. The record is from RNAcentral.